RNAcentral lists this small RNA (30 nucleotides) under Bombyx mori (domestic silkworm). RNAcentral's name for it is "piRNA piR-bmo-1413210". The record is from RNAcentral. Lineage: Eukaryota; Metazoa; Arthropoda; Insecta; Lepidoptera; Bombycidae.
UCGAUAAUGUGGUCGUACCACCGGAACCUC